Molecule: ribosomal RNA, 256 nt
Filed under: uncultured bacterium
Lineage: Bacteria
Description: partial 16S ribosomal RNA
Rfam family: Bacterial small subunit ribosomal RNA
Source: RNAcentral
CAUUUCCUACGGGACGCAGCAGUGGGGAAUAUUGCACAAUGGGGGAAACCCUGAUGCAGCGACGCCGCGUGAGUGAAGAAGUAUUUCGGUAUGUAAAGCUCUAUCAGCAGGGAAGAAAAUGACGGUACCUGACUAAGAAGCCCCGGCUAACUACGUGUCAGCAGCCGCGGUAAUACGUAGGGGGCAAGCGUUAUCCGGAUUUACUGGGCGUAAAGGGAGCGUAGACGGUAGAGCAAGUCUGAAGUGAAAGCCCGCG